UACGAUUUCCCUUUAUCCUUUGCACCCUACGAUCUUCUCUUGCUCGUGUUGUUGACUCUACGUUCCCGAGAGCUCACUACGAUCGUUGACUUGUAAACUUCAUGUUUCCUUCAGCACACUGCGAUCGUGGAGUUAACUCAGCACUCGUUGGGACCACUCUACGAAGUCCGAAGAGUUUCAUUGAAGGCAGGCACACUGUG
RNAcentral lists this long non-coding RNA (200 nucleotides) under Panax ginseng (ginseng). Its description in RNAcentral is "long non-coding RNA (PGIN_LNC013937)". Lineage: Eukaryota; Viridiplantae; Streptophyta; Magnoliopsida; Apiales; Araliaceae. The record is from RNAcentral.